This 2257-nucleotide long non-coding RNA is filed under the name Homo sapiens (human). RNAcentral's name for it is "long intergenic non-protein coding RNA 1128". Lineage: Eukaryota; Metazoa; Chordata; Mammalia; Primates; Hominidae. The record is from RNAcentral.
ACCGACCUCCCGCCCCCGCUGCGCGCGUUUCUGGCCCUGCCAGUGUCUCCGCCGGUUGAAAGCGCGUGUCUGCGUCGGGUUCUGUUGGAGUGCGUUCGGUGCGCCGUGGGUCCGCGCUGCUUCCACCCAACUUCCUGUUAGUUUCUCUCCUGUCACAAUGGCAUGAUCUCGGCUCACUGCGACCUCUGCUUCCUGGGUUCAAGGAUUCUCCUGCCUCAGCCUCCCAAGUAGCUGGGAUUACAGUUUCCAUCAUUAUCUUCUAUGGAGUUCUUCAUUCCCACAUCUGUGGACCUUAAAAUCCUACCGUUGAGUGCCUGCCUUGGAUCAGCAGUCAGUUCGUUACCUUGGUUCUCAGACGAUGCUUGCAACAACGCCAUGCGAUUCGCCCACUCUUGGGUUACAUUAGUUAUACACUCUGGAGGUGACUUGACCUGUCAUUGUGAACAAUUAUUGCUCUUGGACGACCCAGGACAUAGGCCAGCCAGUACGUACCCCAGUGUGUUGGAGAAUCGCGCUCGGCUUCUUCCUCUGUGCUGAGUCAUGAAAGUUGCCGGAGCAGGUGCAGUUACACAACCUCCAGGUAACAUCACAUGAUCGUUCAAAAAAUAAUCAUCCAAGUCCAGGAUGCAGCAUCUGUCUCAGUUUUUGGCAUAGGAUGACAGUCUGAAAUACACUUACUGAAUUUGAAUAAGAACGGGCUCAGGUCAGUGAUUAUCGCUAGUGCCUUAUCAACGCCCUGUGGCUUUUCAGCAUUAGUCCCCAUAUCCUCGUCCGGUGUGGCACUGAGAGCAGCUAACUGUUGCCCUCGUUGGUUCCCAGUUGGCUUCCGUGACUGGUCAGGGUCAGGUCCACUGCCAACAGGCUGGUGUUGAAUCCCUUGGAGAAACACAGACAUUCUGACCCUAAAUUAUGCUUUCAAUGCCAUGUGUUUUCCUAUCACAAAAAUCCUCGUUCUCAAGUUUCUUCUUUCUUUAUUUUUAUUUCAUUUCAUUUUUUAGCAUUCCUCCACAAUUCAUUGCCCAAAUCUACUUUUUACUCAAUUUACUUGCUUUGGUCAUUUUUCAAUAUAGCACUUUAAUUUCUUAGACAAAUAUUUUCAACAUUCUCCUGUUUUCUCAAGGAUGUCUGUUUUCUCCCCAGGUAUGAUCCUGUUUAAGGACUGGAUUUAGGAUAACUACUUAGAGGUUAAAAGUCACAAGGGUGUAUGGAUGAGGCUGGAGUGAUCUGGGACCAAAGACAUCUAGGCUUGCUGUCAAGGCUUCUGAUCAACAUGAGAUGACCGCCGUGUGGUAAACUGAUGAACCCUGACCCUGAUCAACAUGAGAUGACCGCCGUGUGGUAAACUGAUGAACCCCGACCCUGAUGAACGUGAGAUGACCGCCGUGUGGUAAACUGAUGAACCCCGACCCUGAUGAACGUGAGAUGACCGCCGUGUGGUAAACUGAUGAACCCCGACCCUGAUGAACGUGAGAUGACCGCCGUGUGGUAAACUGAUGAACCCCGACCCUGAUGAACGUGAGAUGACCGCCGUGUGGUAAACUGAUGAACCCCGACCCUGAUCAACGUGAGAUGACCGCCGUGUGGUAAACUGAUGAACCCCGACCCUGAUGAACAUGAGAUGACCGCCGUGUGGUAAACUGAUGAACCCCGACCCUGAUCAACAUGAGAUGACCGCCGUGUGGUAAACUGAUGAACCCCGACCCUGAUCAACAUGAGAUGACUGCCGUGUGGUAAACUGAUGAACCCUGACCCAUUAGGCUUUGGCUACAGAAUGUGGAAAUAAGUUGUGUUACUACAUGUGUGUAAUCCUAGGGUGCAGGACACCGGCCGGGAGGUUCCAUAGAGUGAUGGGUUCUGCAGGUAACUCAUCCUCUAGUCCUCUGUAAGCUCCUAGAAGGAAGAAAUUAUGUCCUUUAGACUAAUAAAAUUCCUCCAAACCAAAUACAGCACCUACUGUGAAGACACAAAGAUACUUUUAGAAUAGUAAAAACUUUAUCCAUUGAGAAAUUCCUUAAUGAAACAGUAUCCAAGAAGUCAUUUGCCAGCAGAUUUCUUAGAGGUGCGAUAAAGAAGAGGACAUUGCCAGUCGUCACAGCAGCUGCAAUAGCUCCUCUCUAUUGUUAAACAGUGGGAUAUCUUGUGCAGGUUUUCAGUUGACAAUCAAUUUUAAAGAUUAGUUUCGGUCCCCAUCAAUCAAUUAUUUAUUAACCCAUCAAUAAAAAUUUAAAUGCUCUGUGAGGUACAAUAGCUAUUAAAA